This 828-nucleotide ribosomal RNA is filed under the name uncultured bacterium. RNAcentral's name for it is "bacterial SSU rRNA". It matches the Rfam family "Bacterial small subunit ribosomal RNA", at positions 49 to 916 of the family's 1533-position model. The record is from RNAcentral.
UUACACAUGCAAGUCGUACGAGAGUUUUUAACUCAAGUGGCGGACGGGUGAGUAACACGUAAGAAUUUACCUUUAGGAGGGGGAUAACAACUGGAAACGGUUGCUAAUACCCCAUAUGCUUUCGAGUGAAAUGGAAUUUCCGCCUAGAGAGAAGCUUGCGGCUGAUUAGCUUGUUGGUAAGGUAAUGGCUUACCAAGGCGACGAUCAGUAUCUGGUUUGAGAGGACGAUCAGACACACUGGAACUGAGACACGGUCCAGACUCCUGCGGGAGGCAGCAGUGGGGAAUUUUCCGCAAUGGGCGAAAGCCUGACGGAGCAACACCGCGUGAGGGAUGACGGCCUAUGGGUUGUAAACCUCUUUUUUCAGGGAGGAAUAAAAUGACGUGUACCUGAAGAAUAAGCAUCGGCUAACUCCGUGCCAGCAGCCGCGGUAAGACGGAGGAUGCAAGUGUUAUCCGGAAUCACUGGGCGUAAAGCGUCUGUAGGUGGUCAAAUAAGUCAACUGUUAAAUCUUGAGGCUCAACCUCAAAAUCGCAGUCGAAACUAUUAGACUAGAGUAUAGUAGGGGUAAAGGGAAUUUCCAGUGGAGCGGUGAAAUGCGUAGAGAUUGGAAAGAACACCGAUGGCGAAGGCACUUUACUGGGCUAUUACUAACACUCAGAGACGAAAGCUAGGGUAGCAAAUGGGAUUAGAUACCCCAGUAGUCCUAGCUGUAAACAAUGGAUACUAGAUGUUGAACAGAUCGACCUGUGCAGUAUUAAAGCUAACGCGUUAAGUAUCCCGCCUGGGAAGUAUGCUCGCAAGAGUGAAACUCAAAUGAAUUGACGG